Molecule: ribosomal RNA, 205 nt
Filed under: uncultured bacterium
Lineage: Bacteria
Description: partial 16S ribosomal RNA
Rfam family: Bacterial small subunit ribosomal RNA
Source: RNAcentral
UCAGUUCGGAUUGCAGGCUGCAACCCGCCUGCAUGAAGUCGGAAUUGCUAGUAAUCGCGCAUCAGCCAUGGCGCGGUGAAUACGUUCCCGGGCCUUGUACACACCGCCCGUCAAGCCAUGGGAGCCGGGGGCGCCUGAAGUCCGGGACCGCGAGGACCGGCCUAGGGCGAAACUGGUGACUGGGGCUAAGUCGUAACAAGGUAUC